Molecule: ribosomal RNA, 294 nt
Filed under: Pantoea sp. CC46
Lineage: Bacteria; Pseudomonadati; Pseudomonadota; Gammaproteobacteria; Enterobacterales; Erwiniaceae
Description: partial 16S ribosomal RNA
Rfam family: Bacterial small subunit ribosomal RNA
Source: RNAcentral
AGGCCUAACACAUACAAGUCGAGCGGCAUCGGAAAGUAGCUUGCUACUUGGCCGACGAGCGGCGGACGGGUGAGUAAUGUCUGGGAAACUGCCUGAUGGAGGGGGAUAACUACUGGAAACGGUAGCUAAUACCGCAUAACGUCGCAAGACCAAAGAGGGGGACCUUCGGGCCUCUUGCCAUCAGAUGUGCCCAGAUGGGAUUAGCUAGUAGGUGGGGUAACGGCUCACCUAGGCGACGAUCCCUAGCUGGUCUGAGAGGAUGACCAGCCACUCUGGAUCUGACACACUGUCCAC